UUAACGGCCGCGGUAUUUUGACCGUGCGAAGGUAGCGCAAUCACUUGUCUUUUAAAUGGAGACCUGUAUGAAUGGCAUAACGAGGGCUUAGCUGUCUCCUCUUUCAAGUCAAUGAAAUUGAUCUCCCCGUGCAGAAGCGGGGAUAAUCUCGUAAGACGAGAAGACCCUAUGGAGCUUUAGACACCAAAGCAGAUCAUGUUAAACACCCUUAAAUAAAAGAUUAAACAAGAUGAAACCUGCCCUAAUGUCUUUGGUUGGGGCGACCGCGGGGAAACACAAAACCCCCACGUGGAAUGGGACUACCCGUCCUACAGCUACAGAGCUCCCGCUCUAAGCAACAGAAUUUCUGACCAACAAGAUCCGGCUAAAGCCGAUCAACGGACCGAGUUACCCUAGGGAUAACAGCGCAAUCCUCUUUUAGAGCCCAUAUCGACAAGAGGGUUUACGACCUCGAUGUUGGAUCAGGACAUCCUAAUGGUGCAGCCGCUAUUAAGGGUUCGUUUGUUCAACGAUUAAAGUCCU
This 522-nucleotide ribosomal RNA is filed under the name Siganus doliatus (barred spinefoot). Its description in RNAcentral is "partial 16S ribosomal RNA". It matches the Rfam family "Bacterial large subunit ribosomal RNA", at positions 1924 to 2597 of the family's 2925-position model. The record is from RNAcentral. Lineage: Eukaryota; Metazoa; Chordata; Actinopteri; Siganidae.